This 492-nucleotide ribosomal RNA is filed under the name uncultured bacterium. RNAcentral describes it as "partial 16S ribosomal RNA". It matches the Rfam family "Bacterial small subunit ribosomal RNA", at positions 29 to 507 of the family's 1533-position model. The record is from RNAcentral.
AGUGAACGCUGGCGGUAGGCCUAACACAUGCAAGUCGAACGGCAGCACAGUAAGAGCUUGCGCUGACGGGUGGCGAGUGGCGGACGGGGGAGGAAUACAGCGGAAUCUACUUUUUCGUGGGGGAUAACGUAGGGAAACUUACGCUAAUACCGCAUACGACCUACGGGUGAAAGCAGGGGAUCUUCGGACCUUGCGCGAUUGAGUGGGCCGAUGUCGGAUUAGCUAGUUGGCGGGGUAGCGGCCCACCAAGCCGACGAUCCGUAGCGGGUCUGAUAGGAUGAUCGGCCACACUGGAACUGAGGCGCGGUCCAGACUCCUACGGGAGGCAGCAGUGGGGAGUAUUGGACAAUGGGCGCAAGCCUGAUCCAGCCAUACCGCGUGGGUGAAGAAGGCCUUCGGGUUGUAAAGCCCUUUUGUUGGGAAAGAAAAGCAGCAGGUUAAUACCCCGCUGUUCUGACGGUACCCAAAGAAUAAGCACCGGCUAACUUCGUG